Molecule: ribosomal RNA, 450 nt
Filed under: uncultured bacterium
Lineage: Bacteria
Description: partial 16S ribosomal RNA
Rfam family: Bacterial small subunit ribosomal RNA
Source: RNAcentral
GUGGGGAAUCUUCCGCAAUGGACGAAAGUCUGACGGAGCAACGCCGCGUGAGUGAAGAAGGUUUUCGGAUCGUAAAGCUCUUUCGUUAGGGACGAACGUGCUCUUUGUGAAUAAUGAGGAGUAAUGACGGUACCUAAAUAAGAAGCCACGGCUAACUACGUGCCAGCAGCCGCGGUAAUACGUAGGUGGCAAGCGUUGUCCGGAAUUAUUGGGCGUAAAGCGCGCGCAGGCGGGAUAUCAAGUCUGUCUUAAAAGUGCGAGGCUCAACCUCGUGAGGGGACAGAAACUGGUAUUCUUGAGUGUCGGAGAGCAAAGUGGAAUUCCAAGUGUAGCGGUGAAAUGCGUAGAGAUUUGGAAGAACACCAGUGGCGAAGGCGACUUUCUGGACUGUAACUGACGCUGAGGCUCGAAAGCCAGGGGAGCGAACGGGAUUAGAAACCCGUGUAGUCC